UUUUAUGGAGAGUUUGAUCCUGGCUCAGGAUGAACGCUGGCGGCGUGCCUAAUACAUGCAAGUCGAGCGAACGGACGAGAAGCUUGCUUCUCUGAUGUUAGCGGCGGACGGGUGAGUAACACGUGGAUAACCUACCUAUAAGACUGGGAUAACUUCGGGAAACCGGAGCUAAUACCGGAUAAUAUUUUGAACCGCAUGGUUCAAAAGUGAAAGCCGGUCUUGCUGUCACUUAUAGAUGGAUCCGCGCUGCAUUAGCUAGUUGGUAAGGUAACGGCUUACCAAGGCAACGAUGCAUAGCCGACCUGAGAGGGUGAUCGGCCACACUG
This 326-nucleotide ribosomal RNA is filed under the name Staphylococcus aureus. RNAcentral describes it as "bacterial SSU rRNA". It matches the Rfam family "Bacterial small subunit ribosomal RNA", at positions 1 to 315 of the family's 1533-position model. Lineage: Bacteria; Bacillati; Bacillota; Bacilli; Caryophanales; Staphylococcaceae. The record is from RNAcentral.